Molecule: long non-coding RNA, 756 nt
Filed under: Salvia miltiorrhiza (redroot sage)
Lineage: Eukaryota; Viridiplantae; Streptophyta; Magnoliopsida; Lamiales; Lamiaceae
Description: long non-coding RNA (SMIL_LNC008247)
Source: RNAcentral
AAAUGCUCUGAACAUGCGAUUUAAGAGCUGGCCCAUGCUCGAUGACUGGAAGGAGAUAUUUGGGAAAGAUAGGGCCAAUGGAGUUCAAGCCGAAGAUCUAAUGGAAGCUGUUCAUGACAUGUACACUGCUGAAAACAUUGCGCAGGAGGACCGUGGGGCAUAUUUCAAUUCAGCUGAUGAGGAGGUUCCAACCGACGAGGCAGAGGUCAGUGUUUGCCAGACUGAGAAAAAAUGCAACAGGGGAGGUGGUUCCAAGAAGAAACGCAAGUCGCCUGAUGAGUUUGAUAGAUUGUGUGAUGUGCUUGGUGAAAUUGGUCGCGACACUGGACUGAGGCUCGGGGACCUUGUAACUCGCAUCGGUUAUGAAUUUGACCUUGGGCAAGCUCGGCAGACCGUAUUUGAGAAACUUGGGGCUAUAUCUGGAUUGUCCACGAAGGAGAAGUUCGAAGUGUGCGAAAUGCUGGCUGAUAAGGUGCAACGUCUUGAGAUAUUUAUCGGGCUGUCGGAGGAUGCUAAGGCCCAGUACGUUGCGUAUCUGCUGGAGUCGAAGUUAAACUAGGUUCAAAUUAUAAUUUGGCAAAGUAGUUGAUGUUAAUAUCCCUUUUGUGAUUAAAACCUAUAGCAAGUAUGAAGACUACGUAACAGCUCUUGUGACUCAUUUUAGGAUAUCCUCUAUUUGUGUUGAUCGACCUUUUGUAAGAUGCCAUAUAUCUCGAGCGUACCAUAUUAUCUAUGAUGCCAUAUAUAUAUAUAUAU